GUCUCGUUCGUCUAGAGGCCUAGGACACCGCCCUCUCACGGCGGCAACACGGGUUCGAAUCCCGUACGAGACGCCA
RNAcentral lists this transfer RNA (76 nucleotides) under Acetobacteraceae bacterium. RNAcentral's name for it is "tRNA-Glu". It matches the Rfam family "tRNA". Rfam says of the family: Transfer RNA (tRNA) molecules are approximately 80 nucleotides in length. Their secondary structure includes four short double-helical elements and three loops (D, anti-codon, and T loops). Further hydrogen bonds mediate the characteristic L-shaped molecular structure. tRNAs have two regions of fundamental functional importance: the anti-codon, which is responsible for specific mRNA codon recognition, and the 3' end, to which the tRNAs corresponding amino acid is attached (by aminoacyl-tRNA synthetases). tRNAs cope with the degeneracy of the genetic code in two manners: having more than one tRNA (with a specific anti-codon) for a particular amino acid; and 'wobble' base-pairing, i.e. permitting non-standard base-pairing at the 3rd anti-codon position. The record is from RNAcentral. Lineage: Bacteria; Pseudomonadati; Pseudomonadota; Alphaproteobacteria; Acetobacterales; Acetobacteraceae.